This 910-nucleotide long non-coding RNA is filed under the name Equus caballus (horse). RNAcentral describes it as "lncRNA (ENSECAG00000055338.1)". Lineage: Eukaryota; Metazoa; Chordata; Mammalia; Perissodactyla; Equidae. The record is from RNAcentral.
CUUCCCUCUGUUUUUGCUCUGAAUGUUUAUUUUCCAUCAGCUUGUAACAUCAUAACAUUAAUUGGUGAAGUAAUGUAUUAUCCAUGCCAUCUGGUUUAGUAGCAUUAGUGCUGUCAGCAUUAGUAUUCAGUCUAAAGAGAUACCGUUAUGUCAAGAGCCCUCUGCCUCAGCUUGUCUUGUUUUGCAGAACCUGCCUGGCCCCCACGCCCAGGCUCCCUCCGCAGUCCCAUAUGGUGAAGCAGACACAUAUGGUGAAGAGCACAUCUCCAAAUUUCAAGGAGUCACUCCUGACCUGAGUGGAGGCUCCUGAAGUUCCUAGGACCUCAGAGAAAAGCUAUUCAGGAAAUACAAAGACGUCAGAGAGGGUCGUUACCUUUAAGAAGCUUAGAGUCUAACAAUGAAGAUAAGACUUACGUUUAAAGUACUAGAAACAAAGCAGCAUGUGAAAAGUGUCCCAAGAGAGGUACAUCCAAAGGACUAAAGGGACUCAGAGGGGCUCAGAAGACAUUAUUUCCAACUGGAUUAAUGAGAAAAGGCUGGUGAGGCUCAGGACUUUGGAGUUACAACACUGUGCAUUUGAUUGGCCCAGGAGAGGGAAUGUUUGAGAGCCCUGGGAUCUCAGCAUGAGAUGGAGAAGGUGAAGCUCAAUGAAGAGGAGAAAAUGACGAGGGUGAACCAAUGUCUUGGUUUGGACCAGCUUGAAAUGAGUACAGAUUUCUGGGCCACCAGUGACUUUUCAUUGCAUGGAUCCAAAUACACCAGACAGAAUGCCGCUGCCUCGUGUAGGCUUUAGACUCCAGGGACAUUGCAAGCCACUGUCAGGGAAGAUGGUGGUAUUCUUACAACCCACCCUUAGAGGUCCCCUCUCUACCUCUCAAAGUUUCAGGAGGACCCAAGACCCAUAGCCUCG